Molecule: long non-coding RNA, 266 nt
Filed under: Elaeis guineensis (African oil palm)
Lineage: Eukaryota; Viridiplantae; Streptophyta; Magnoliopsida; Arecales; Arecaceae
Description: long non-coding RNA (EGUI_LNC074491)
Source: RNAcentral
GUGCAUGCAAAGUAGUGGGUCUGCACAUCCAGACCUCCAUGAAUAUUUAUAUCAGAUAAUUUAAGAUUUGAUCUCUGAUUUCACUGCUAAUCAGGUAAGAAUUUGAUCCUUAAUCAUGUAGAUGAAUAUAAAAACUUUUAGAUGCAAUCUGGGCCUUCCGAGCAGAAAUAGUUUCUUUCUCUUUAAUUGAUUCAUUAUUUUAGCUGCAUCUUAUGAUGUCUAAGAUUAUGUGAACCCCAAAGAUUAGGACAAUAAGUUUAGAAGAC